RNAcentral lists this ribosomal RNA (254 nucleotides) under uncultured bacterium. RNAcentral describes it as "partial 16S ribosomal RNA". It matches the Rfam family "Bacterial small subunit ribosomal RNA", at positions 524 to 776 of the family's 1533-position model. The record is from RNAcentral.
UACGGGGGGAGCAAGCGUUGUUCGGAUUUACUGGGCGUAAAGGGCGCGUAGGCGGUCAGCACAAGUCAGUUGUGAAAUCUCCGGGCUUAACUCGGAAAGGUCAACUGAUACUGUGCGACUAGAGUGCGGAAGGGGCAACUGGAAUUCUCGGUGUAGCGGUGAAAUGCGUAGAUAUCUGGAGGAACACCGGUGGCGAAGGCGGCGUUCUGGACUGCUACUGACACUGAGGAACGAAAGCCAGGGGAGCAAACAGG